This 253-nucleotide ribosomal RNA is filed under the name uncultured bacterium. Its description in RNAcentral is "partial 16S ribosomal RNA". It matches the Rfam family "Bacterial small subunit ribosomal RNA", at positions 524 to 776 of the family's 1533-position model. The record is from RNAcentral.
UACGAAGGGUGCAAACGUUGCUCGGAAUUAUUGGGCGUAAAGCGCACGUAGGCGGCUUUGCAAGUCGGAUGUGAAAGCCCUCGGCUCAACCAAGGAAGUGCAUCCGAAACUGCAGAGCUUGAGUACUUAAGAGGAUCGCGGAAUUCCCGGUGUAGAGGUGAAAUUCGUAGAUAUCGGGAGGAACACCGGUGGCGAAGGCGGGUCUCUGGGCCGUAACUGACGCUGAGGAGCGAAAGCGUGGGGAGCGAACAGG